Sparus aurata (gilthead seabream) is the source of this 1843-nucleotide long non-coding RNA. The record is from Ensembl. NCBI's taxonomy places the organism in Eukaryota, Metazoa, Chordata, Actinopteri, Spariformes, Sparidae.
GACAAGGAAGUUGUCUUAUCUCUUUUGUAACAAAAGGAUUUUUCUUGCCAGGAUUGUACCUGUGGGUGUGUGGGUUUGUUCAAAAAUGUCAGAUGUUUAACGCCUUUAUAAAUAAUCCCUAGUGACACUCAGCAGCUACAUUCGGUCAUGGGUUGGUUUGCAUUGUACUUCUUUCUCCUGUCAGGGCUGCCACCUCUCUAUUAUGCUCAAACUACAGCUCCCAGUACCAGCCCAACAGGCUGUGCAGGACCACCUGUGCUGUGCUGCUCUGGUCAAAACAACUCCUGUUUCAGGACCUGUUACUGUGAUGAGCACUGCACAAAUGUUGGAGACUGCUGUGAUGACUACAACACAACCUGCACACAACCGUCUACUCUUGCAACGCCAGGAGGACCCACCAGAAGCAGCAGUGCUGGGCUGACAUCUACACCAGCAACUUCAGCAACAACAGUCUUGUCAGCAGCAUCACCCAGUGCAACAUCUGCAGUGCUGAAUGUGAACACAACCUUAGCAUCUACAGUCUCUGGAACUGCAGCCACUGGCCAUAUCAGCAACAGCAUGUCUAUACCGGCAGAUAACAGCACAUCCUCAUCAGUCUCAGUGACAACAGGACCACGCACAACAAACAGCAAUACUUCCAGUACCAACAAAACAUUAGCAUCGACAGUCUCUGGUACCACAAAACCCAGCACGACUGGCAGCACUGUGACAUCUACACUGGCAAGUAUUUCCACAACUUCAUCAUCAGCAGUCUCGGCAACAGCACCCAAUACAACAUCUGCAGUGUUGAAUGUGAGCUCAACCUCGGUCUCUACAUUCACUGCUACUACAGCAACCAGCCAAACAAGCAGCAGUAUAUCUACACAAACAGAUAACAGCACAACUAACACCAAUACUAACUCAACACCAGCAGAUAUUAGAACAAAUUCAUCAUCCGCAGUCUCACCAAUAACGGUAACCAGUAGAGCAUCUGCAGGAUCAAAUGUGAGCAACACCUCAGCCUCCACGGUCUCUACAGCAACCAGUCAAACAAGGAUCAGUACAUCUACACUAAUAGAUAACAACAAAACUUUAUCAGCUACUGGAACAACAACAACAAACACCACAAACAGCAAUACUACCACUACGCAAGCAGAUAUCAGAGCAACUUCAAUAUCCACAGCAUCUGAAACAACACAGCCAAGCACAACAAACAGUAAUAUAUCUACACCAGUAGAUGUCAGCACAGCAUCAACUACAAUCUCUACUACUCCAGCACCCUCCCCAAUAAACAGCACUACUACCACGACGCAAGCAGAUGGAAGCACAACUUCAUCAUCGCCAGUCUCUCUUACUACGGUGCCCACACAAUCUACAUCAACCAGUACAAGCCCAUCUUUGUCGUCCACGCUCUCUUCAACGACACCGCCCAGUAUGACCAGCAGCAGAACAGCAGCAGUAGAUGAGAGCACAACCUCAACUACAGCAUCUACCAAAGAAAGCAUCAGUUCUACAUCUAAACCAUUAGAUGGCCUCACAACUUCAGCACCCACAGCUCCAGCAGGAACAACACUGGCAGAAACAAGUACAACUCUGGAUGCCAGUAGUGUCACGUCUUCACCAGCAGAUGGAAGCAAAUCUGGAGCUUUGAAGAAAAACACAGAUUCCAGGACCACCACCAGCUCAGGAAAGGACACACUCAGUGACAUGUGCUUCAGGGAUGUAGUUAACAGUUUGAAUGGUAAAAUACAUUUCUAUUUUCUCAUUUCUUGUUUCAGAUGGCCAAACACUGACUGUUCACCUAAAGGUUUCUGUCUUAACCAGUAACAAGGACAAGACUGCGCUGCUGGAAGCUUUAUCUAAU